Molecule: ribosomal RNA, 537 nt
Filed under: Globigerinella siphonifera
Lineage: Eukaryota; Foraminifera; Rotaliida; Globigerinidae
Description: bacterial SSU rRNA
Rfam family: Eukaryotic small subunit ribosomal RNA
Source: RNAcentral
UAAUUUGACUCAACGCGGGGAAUCUUACCGGGUCCGGACACACUGAGGAUUGACAGACAGUUGUCUUUCCCUCCCUUCGGGGUGGGAUUACAAAAGAUAACAGAUCUUUCAUGAUCAUGUGAUGGGUGGUGCAUGGCCGUUCUUAGUUCGUGGAGUGAUCUGUCUGCUUAAUUGCGUUUCAAAUUUUAUAUUUGUUAACAUGCGAGUCUUCAAUGACGGCCGCUCCACCUUAUAGACAUUAUAUGAUAUGCACAUUUGUGUAUUUGAUUAUAACUUGUCUGGAGUCUGGCUCGAUUUUUUUGACUCAAUUGAACGCAACGGACGUGAUUGCAAGUCCUUGUUGAACAAAUUAUAUAUAUACUACUUCAUCAUUAGUAUAUAUAGUUCGCUUCUCAUGUCGUAGCAGUCAAACGGGCGGGCGUCUUAAUUGGCGCGGUCACGAGGCUUAAUAUGCUGCGGCAGGGAAAACUUGGGCGACCGCUGUAAUACUUCUCUCUUAAACCAGAGGAAGAUUGCGGCAAUAACAGGUCUGUGAUG